Molecule: ribosomal RNA, 441 nt
Filed under: uncultured bacterium
Lineage: Bacteria
Description: partial 16S ribosomal RNA
Rfam family: Bacterial small subunit ribosomal RNA
Source: RNAcentral
CCUACGGGAGGCAGCAGUGGGGAAUAUUGCACAAUGGGGGAAACCCUGAUGCAGCGACGCCGCGUGAGUGAAGAAGUAUUUCGGUAUGUAAAGCUCUAUCAGCAGGAACGAGACAAGACGGUACCUGCCUAAGAAUCCCCGGCUAACUACGUGCCAGCAUCCGCGGUAAUUCUUAGGGGGCAAGCGUUUUCCGGAAAAACUGGUGUUAAAGGGAGUGUUGACGGAUGAGCAUGCCUUAAGUGAAAGGCGGGGGCCCAACCCCCGGACUGCUUUGGGAACUGGACGGCUGGAGUGCAGGAGAGGUAAGUGGAAUUACGAGUGUAGCGGUGAAAUGCGUAGAUAUUAGGAGGAACACCAGUGGCGAAGGCGGAUGAAUGGACUGUAACUGACGUUGAGGCACGAAAGCGUGGGGAGCAAACAGGAUUAGAUACCCUGGUAGUG